AGUGGCGGACGGGUGAGUAACGCGUAAGAAUCUAACUUCAGGACGGGGACAACAGUGGGAAACGACUGCUAAUACCCGAUGUGCCGCAAGGUGAAACCUAAUUGGCCUGGAGAAGAGCUUGCGUCUGAUUAGCUAGUUGGUGGGGUAAAGGCCUACCAAGGCGACGAUCAGUAGCUGGUCUGAGAGGAUGAGCAGCCACACUGGGACUGAGACACGGCCCAGACUCCUACGGGAGGCAGCAGUGGGGAAUUUUCCGCAAUGGGCGAAAGCCUGACGGAGCAACGCCGCGUGAGGGAGGAAGGUCUUUGGAUUGUAAACCUCUUUUCUCAAGGAAGAAGUUCUGACGGUACUUGAGGAAUCAGCCUCGGCUAACUCCGUGCCAGCAGCCGCGGUAAUACGGGGGAGGCAAGCGUUAUCCGGAAUUAUUGGGCGUAAAGCGUCCGCAGGUGGUCAGCCAAGUCUGCCGUCAAAUCAGGUUGCUUAACGACCUAAAGGCGGUGGAAACUGGCAGACUAGAGAGCAGUAGGGGUAGCAGGAAUUCCCAGUGUAGCGGUGAAAUGCGUAGAGAUUGGGAAGAACAUCGGUGGCGAAAGCGUGCUACUGGGCUGUAUCUGACACUCAGGGACGAAAGCUAGGGGAGCGAAAGGGAUUAGAUACCCCUGUAGUCCUAGCCGUAAGCGAUGGAUACUAGGCGUGGCUU
This 700-nucleotide ribosomal RNA is filed under the name uncultured bacterium. RNAcentral describes it as "bacterial SSU rRNA". It matches the Rfam family "Bacterial small subunit ribosomal RNA", at positions 94 to 828 of the family's 1533-position model. The record is from RNAcentral.